UCAAAUCUUUUAUUAUUUUUGAAGCAUUUAUAAACUCAUCGUAAAGCUCAUCAAAAGCAUCUUGCAUUUCUUCUAAAGAAAAGAUAAUUUUGGAAGAAAUACAUACCUCGUUUUGAGAUUCUUCAUGUGCCAUUAGACAAACGUUUGCGGUCUCUUCUUCUCCGUCGCUUGACUCGUCUCGGGAGUCACCUCCCCAAGAGAUGUAUGCCCUUUGCUUCUUUUCGGGUUUCUU
This 232-nucleotide long non-coding RNA is filed under the name Nicotiana benthamiana. RNAcentral describes it as "long non-coding RNA (NBEN_LNC000908)". Lineage: Eukaryota; Viridiplantae; Streptophyta; Magnoliopsida; Solanales; Solanaceae. The record is from RNAcentral.